UCAGCUGGGUAAGGAAGGAGAGAGCUCUAUACCAUCACUCACAAAAAUGUCAUCUUGAGUCCUUAAUCAUGCGGGCAUUCAAUCAACUUCCAAACAGUAUGCAACUGCUUGAUCACUCCCUCCUUCUGGGAACACCCAAAGAAUAAAUGAGGAGUCAACAGAGCCAUCCUGAGACAAGGCAGUCAGGGAAGGCACAUCUGAGGAGGUGGCAUUCAAGCUGACCCUCAAAUGACAAGAACCAGUAGAUUUGUCAUCAUCAUGGCAGGUGCCUUCGUUUCCAGUGGCUCCUGUAACAAAUGACCAUACACUUGGGGGCUUGAGAUAACAGAAAUGUAUUCUGUCACAUUUCUGGAAGCACUGGGAGACUUCCUCCAUUACACCGAUGACAGGGCUUUGUGAUCAGGAACUCAAGGUGACCUCGAGAAGAAGCCGAAACGUUCGGUUGACUACAGCCAGAGGGAAAAAUCUCACACCAGCUACACUGAAGUGAAAACGUUCGCAGUUAGGGCGGGCUGGCAGGAUUUCUGAGGUCGCCAGAAUAUGCACACCUCUGGGAAGAAAACAGCUGGAGCCAGAAUGUGGUCAGGAUCCCACUGCGGCUGCUGGGAGCCUGGGUUUCUGCUUCUCUCCAUAUGUUUGAAGCCCUUCUCCCCACCCCCCACCCAUCCCCCAUGCCCGCUUUCCACACUAAACCCAGGAAGGCGCUGCUGCUUCACAGCAAGCAGUUGCACAUCACCUCUGCCAGUCACUUGCACCCAAAGGCUAUCUAUGAAUCCCAGUGCCAGGUUCUAGAAGGGGUCCAAGGCUGGUAUGUGGGAGCCAGUGCUUUAGAAGAAGAGAAAGAAACUGGAUGAUUCUUGGGAGUCCUUGACCUCUCUGGUCGCAUCCUUGGAAUGAAACGGGAGGGAGUGUGUUUUGCCUGCUAGAAGCGAUUAGAGAGAGACAGGACACUCCCGAGGGCCACCCCGCCCCUCCUGGCAUGCCUCAGAGCCCACGGGGCUAUUUUGCCUGCAAGGCUGAUUGUAACAUUUCAGCCUUCGCUGGCAGCAAACUGCCCACUUCCUGGCAGUUCCAAGCUGCAGGAGACUAAUAAAACGAGCCCUAAU
Molecule: long non-coding RNA, 1106 nt
Organism: Suricata suricatta (meerkat)
Lineage: Eukaryota; Metazoa; Chordata; Mammalia; Carnivora; Herpestidae
Exons: 5
Source: RefSeq, a predicted model, not a curated record